CUUCGUGCGAGCCCCGUUCGUCCUCCCCACUGCCCAACGUCACUAUCGCUGCUGCCUCCGUGCCUAGGGGGGUCUUCCUCCAGUUGGGACCCGCCCCCUGGGCAGCCCAGGGGUCUGCCCGCAGCAGCCCCUGGGCUGGAGGCCCCCGGGCUGCAGAAUGACGUCCAUGUCUUGCUCCAGCUCAUCCCGUCCUCCCAUGACACAGGGAAGAAAAAUGGCUGCAGUGGAGCCAGUUCAGGGGCCGGUGACCUUCGAGGAGGUGGCUAUGUAUUUCACCAGGG
This is a long non-coding RNA of Trachemys scripta elegans, 281 nucleotides long. RefSeq lists it as uncharacterized. The record is from RefSeq and is a predicted model, not a curated record. The transcript has 3 exons. Lineage: Eukaryota; Metazoa; Chordata; Testudines; Emydidae.